Molecule: ribosomal RNA, 253 nt
Filed under: uncultured bacterium
Lineage: Bacteria
Description: partial 16S ribosomal RNA
Rfam family: Bacterial small subunit ribosomal RNA
Source: RNAcentral
GACGUAGGUGGCGAACGUUAUCCGGAUUUAUUGGGCGUAAAGAGCGUGUAGGCGGCCAAGCAGGUCCGCUGUGAAAACUCGAGGCUCAACCUCGAGACGUCGGUGGAAACCGUUUGGCUAGAGUCCGGAAGAGGAGAGUGGAAUUCCCGGUGUAGCGGUGAAAUGCGCAGAUAUCGGGAAGAACACCCGUGGCGAAGGCGGCUCUCUGGGACGGUACUGACGCUGAGACGCGAAAGCGUGGGGAGCGAACAGG